Molecule: ribosomal RNA, 497 nt
Filed under: uncultured bacterium
Lineage: Bacteria
Description: partial 16S ribosomal RNA
Rfam family: Bacterial small subunit ribosomal RNA
Source: RNAcentral
GACGAACGCUGGCGGCGUGCCUAAUACAUGCAAGUAGAACGCUGAAGAGAGGAGCUUGCUCUUCUUGGAUGAGUUGCGAACGGGUGAGUAACGCGUAGGUAACCUGCCUUGUAGCGGGGGAUAACUAUUGGAAACGAUAGCUAAUACCGCAUAACAAUGGAUGACACAUGUCAUUUAUUUGAAAGGGGCAAUUGUUCCACUACAAGAUGGACCUGCGCUGUAUUAGCUAGUAGGUGAGGUAAUGGCUCACCUAGGCGACGAUACAUAGCCGACCUGGGAGGGUGAUCGGCCACACUGGGACUGAGACACGGCCCAGGCUCCUACGGGAGGCAGCAGUAGGGAAUCAUCGGCAAUGGGGGCAACCCUGAACGAGCAACGCCGCGUGAGGGAAGAAGGUUUUCGGAUCGGAAAGCUCUGUUGUAAGUCAAGAACGGGUGUGAGAGUGGAAAGUUCACACUGUGACGGUAGCUUAACAGAAAGGGACGGCUAACUACGUG